RNAcentral lists this ribosomal RNA (422 nucleotides) under Laparocerus affinis. RNAcentral's name for it is "partial 16S ribosomal RNA". The record is from RNAcentral. Lineage: Eukaryota; Metazoa; Arthropoda; Insecta; Coleoptera; Curculionidae.
GGUAUUUUGACCGUGCAAAGGUAGCAUAAUCAUUAGUUUUUUAAUUGAAAGCUGGAAUGAAAGGUUGGAUGAGAAAUAAGCUGUCUCUAUUUAAUUUUAUUAGAAUUUUAUUUUUAAGUAAAAAAGCUUAAAUUUUGAUAGAAGACGAGAAGACCCUAUAGAGUUUUAUUUAUUUUUUAAAUAAAAUUAAUAGUAUUAAUUAUUUUUAUUUAAUAAAUAAAUUUAAUUGGGGUGAUUGAAAAAUUUAAUAAACUUUUUUUGUAUAUAUACAUUGAUAUAUGGUUAAUUGAUCCUUAAUUUAAGAUUAAAAGAUAAAAUUACCUUAGGGAUAACAGCGUAAUUUUUUUUGAGAGUUCAAAUCGAAAAAAAAGAUUGCGACCUCGAUGUUGGAUUAAAAUAAAAUUUUGGUGUAGAAGCUAAGA